GCCGCGUUGGCGUAGUGGUAGCGCGUCUCACUUGUAUCCACGAUCACUAUCAGAAAUUACAUGAGAAGGUCACUCGUUCAAUCCGGGUACGUGGCA
This is a non-coding RNA of Sphagnurus paluster, 96 nucleotides long. The record is from the annotation of a GenBank genome assembly. Lineage: Eukaryota; Fungi; Basidiomycota; Agaricomycetes; Agaricales; Lyophyllaceae.